GGCGUAAAGGAUGCGUAGGCGGAUAAUCAAGUCAAAAGUGAAAUCCUACAGCUCAACUGUAGAACUGCUUUCGAAACUGGUUAUCUAGAAUAUGGAAGAGGCAGAUGGAAUUAG
Molecule: ribosomal RNA, 114 nt
Filed under: uncultured bacterium
Lineage: Bacteria
Description: partial 16S ribosomal RNA
Rfam family: Bacterial small subunit ribosomal RNA
Source: RNAcentral